Molecule: long non-coding RNA, 1257 nt
Filed under: Struthio camelus australis
Lineage: Eukaryota; Metazoa; Chordata; Aves; Struthioniformes; Struthionidae
Description: lncRNA (ENSSCUG00000015857.1)
Source: RNAcentral
GGAAUGAUUAACUGAAGGAGAGACAUAAAUGGCAGCGUCUUGAUCAAGGGAGCUUCUGUCAGGGUACCAUCUAGAUAAAUUAAAAAAUGAAUGCUCAGGUUGCUGUGAAGGAAGACUAAUGACAUUAAGUCAAGAUGAAAUAGAAAGGUACAGUACUACAGGCUGAAAAUCAUAAACUACCAGCCUGUCCUGGCGAGAAACCCUGAGAAACUUCCUGAGCUGGAAAGUAACUGGGAACAUUAAGGAAUGACUUUCUGUAGGGGCCUGAUCUUGAAGUUACUCAGGACUAAAGAUGUCCUGGACCACAAUAGUCACUUUUUCAAAGCUUUCAAGACUGGUCAAGGAAUAUUCUGGAAGUAUCUGAAACAGCAGGUGUUAAUAACAGCUCUACGUACUACAGGUGCUGUGCAUCUGAUGUGCUUUCUGUACUUAAUGGGAAUCCAGCCUUUCUCCUAAAUGUGAAAUGUGGUCCCUCCAAUCCAGAGGCAAGCAGACCGUGGAUAACAGGAAAAUGUAAAAACUACAGCCAGUAAAUGUUUAUAUAAUUCAGUGAAUUUAUUUACAAGAAAGCAGGAAAAACAGGAAUGGCAGUACCCUGAAAGGAGUGGAGAUCCUAGCUGAAAGCACGGGGAAACCUUGUAAGCAAGCUGAACGUGUUUGUGCAAAAAGACAUUUCUCAGGAGUGUUUGCAUUGCAAGUGACAUCUGGCUGACAGGAACUUGGAGAAAUGGGAUGCGAAGUGAAUGCUGCAGUUACCACAGCAUUAUAUUUAUCAAAAGGUUUAAGACAUCAUGUCGGGCUGAAAUUCUAAGGAGACACUCCCUAUGAUUCAUGGGAGAGGAAGAAGAAAUAAAAGUUAUUCCACUACUGCAUGGAGAGAGUCCUAACUGCAGUUGUGCAGCACUGCUGAUAACAGGCCAAAACAGCAUCCUGUCAGGAUACUGCUGGAGUACUUUGUUUGACUCGUCAAAACUUCAGACGGAUUCACUGCAUUGUCUGGACACUGGAGAUCCAGUUCAGAUUUCUACCCUGACUGAGGUCACCAGACCCAUGAGUGCAUUACUCAUGUCAAGGAGGAGUCUUACCGAGCUGCUGAUACAGUUGGACUGGCAGGAGAGGUGGAUUUUUAUAUAGAAGAUAGUACAGGAGGCAGAGAAUCUACAGCACAGGUAAGUCACUCAGCUGAUGAUAUUUACAAAUUUUGACAAAAAGUAUUGCAUUUAAUGUGCAAUAAACAAUUUGCAGUUCAAGAAAGCA